Molecule: ribosomal RNA, 624 nt
Filed under: Globorotalia scitula
Lineage: Eukaryota; Foraminifera; Rotaliida; Globorotaliidae
Description: partial small subunit ribosomal RNA
Rfam family: Eukaryotic small subunit ribosomal RNA
Source: RNAcentral
UUGUUGCCUCUCUCUAUGUUAUUCAUUCACACUUGUGUGUUUUGAUUACAAUCUACAGAGGCUAUUAUAAAACUAGACGGACCGCUGUUUCUUUCUUAAACCAGAGGAAGGUUGCGGCAAUAACAGGUCUGUGAUGCCCUUAGAUGUUCCGGGCUGCACACGUGCUACAAUGAUCAGUACAGUGAGCAUCUCAAUUAUUUAUAAUACACCGUAUCUAAGCGCUUUCUAUCUUAAGACUUUUGUUUUAAGGUUUGAAAUGUGCGCGGUAACGCCUGUUUCGAGAGUGAAUGGGUAACCCAUUAGAAGUACUGAUUUCUCUGUUUUUUAUACUUCGCACAACAAUAUACGGCAUGCUAUCCCGAGGUGACUAGUUUCACCUUUUUGUGCGAUUGUCAUGUUAGAGGCAGUCGGUUCUUAAUCGUUCAGGCUACUCUUAUACCCGUAUGUGCAAUUGUCAAUUCAUGGUGGGGACAGACCAUUGUUAACUGUUGGUCUCGGUCUUAACUAGGAAUGCCUUGUACGGGUCUUGGUUCAACAAACCACCCGGAAUACGUCCCUGCCCUUUGUACACACCGCCCGUCGCUCUUACCGAUGAACUUCUUUGUGAGUCUAAGGGACUGGAAA